RNAcentral lists this long non-coding RNA (335 nucleotides) under Equus asinus (donkey). RNAcentral's name for it is "lncRNA (ENSEASG00005035831.1)". The record is from RNAcentral. Lineage: Eukaryota; Metazoa; Chordata; Mammalia; Perissodactyla; Equidae.
UUUCAGCUCAAUAAAAUUGAACGCCAAGUCUCCAGUUCUGCAAAUGGCUAUUUCAGAAGACAAGCUGUGAUUUUCAGCUGAAGCAAGAUUGGGUAAGAGGCCGAAGCAAGCGUGCAGCAGGAAGACCUCAUGAUCCUCAUCUUGCAUAGCAAGAGGAGCAGGCGUCACCCUGCUAUCUUCAGCUGCUCCUCUCUUAAACUGUAUGGCAUCUCACAAAGAAGCAGAGGGUUUGCGAAGCAAUGAAAAUAUGACCCUUUCAUGAAGGAAAGUGUUUUCCAAGGUCCCUCUCUUUGACAACAUCGGAAUUCAGAGCUUAGUGACAGAUAAGAACCUGC